UACGUAGGGUGCGAGCGUUGUCCGGAAUUAUUGGGCGUAAAGAGCUCGUAGGCGGUGUGUCACGUCGUUCGUGAAAACCUGCAGCUUAACUGUGGGCGUGCGGUCGAUACGGGCAUCACUGGAGUUCGGCAGGGGAGACUGGAAUUCCUGGUGUAGCGGUGAAAUGCGCAGAUAUCAGGAGGAACACCGGUGGCGAAGGCGGCUCACUGGCCCGGUACUGACGCUGGAGGUGCGGAAAGCGUGGGUAGCAAACAGG
RNAcentral lists this ribosomal RNA (256 nucleotides) under uncultured bacterium. Its description in RNAcentral is "partial 16S ribosomal RNA". It matches the Rfam family "Bacterial small subunit ribosomal RNA", at positions 524 to 776 of the family's 1533-position model. The record is from RNAcentral.